UAGCGCCGAAGGUACUCGGACCGGAAGGUCCCGGGAGAAUAGGACGUGGCUGCGU
Molecule: ribosomal RNA, 55 nt
Filed under: Peptoclostridium litorale DSM 5388
Lineage: Bacteria; Bacillati; Bacillota; Clostridia; Peptostreptococcales; Peptoclostridiaceae
Source: RNAcentral